Molecule: ribosomal RNA, 492 nt
Filed under: uncultured bacterium
Lineage: Bacteria
Description: partial 16S ribosomal RNA
Rfam family: Bacterial small subunit ribosomal RNA
Source: RNAcentral
AGUGAACGCUGGCGGUAGGCCUAACACAUGCAAGUCGAACGGCAGCACAGUAAGAGCUUGCUCUUACGGGUGGCGAGUGGCGGACGGGUGAGGAAUACAUCGGAAUCUACUUUUUCGUGGGGGAUAACGUAGGGAAACUUACGCUAAUACCGCAUACGACCUACGGGUGAAAGCAGGGGAUCUUCGGACCUUGCGCGAUUGAAUGAGCCGAUGUCGGAUUAGCUAGUUGGCGGGGUAAAGGCCCACCAAGGCGACGAUCCGUAGCUGGUCUGAGAGGAUGAUCAGCCACACUGGAACUGAGACAAGGUCCAGACUCCUACGGGAGGCAGCAGUGGGGAAUAUUGGACAAUGGGCGCAAGCCUGAUCCAGCCAUACCGCGUGGGCGAAGAAGGCCUUCGGGUUGUAAAGCCCUUUUGUUGGGAAAGAAAAGCAGCAGGUUAAUACCCCGCUGUUCUGACGGUACCCAAAGAAUAAGCACCGGCUAACUUCGUG